This 452-nucleotide ribosomal RNA is filed under the name Theileria cf. mutans 1. RNAcentral describes it as "SSU rRNA". It matches the Rfam family "Eukaryotic small subunit ribosomal RNA", at positions 486 to 984 of the family's 1831-position model. The record is from RNAcentral. Lineage: Eukaryota; Apicomplexa; Aconoidasida; Piroplasmida; Theileriidae.
CGGGGCUCAACGCCUUGUAAUUGGAAUGAUGGGAAUCUAAACCCCUUCCAGAGUAUCAAUUGGAGGGCAAGUCUGGUGCCAGCAGCCGCGGUAAUUCCAGCUCCAAUAGCGUAUAUUAAAAUUGUUGCAGUUAAAAAGCUCGUAGUUGAAUUUCUGCUGCAUCGCCACGGCCCCACGGGCCCAGCGUUGCGGCUUAUUUCGGACUCGCUUGCGAUGCCGAAUGUUUACUUUGAGAAAAUUAGAGUGCUCAAAGCAGGCCCUCGCCUGAAUACUUUAGCAUGGAAUAAUAAAGUAGGACUUUGGUUCUAUUUUGUUGGUUUAGCGCCAAAGUAAUGGUUAAUAGGAACAGUUGGGGGCAUUCGUAUUUAACUGUCAGAGGUGAAAUUCUUAGAUUUGUUAAAGACGAACCACUGCGAAAGCAUUUGCCAAGGAUGUUUUCAUUAAUCAAGAAC